GAGUUUGAUCUUGGCUCAGAUUGAACGCUGGCGGCAUGCUUUACACAUGCAAGUCGAACGGUAACGCGGGGGCAACCCUGGCGACGAGUGGCGAACGGGUGAGUAAUACAUCGGAACGUGUCCUGGAGUGGGGGAUAGCUCGGCGAAAGCCGGAUUAAUACCGCAUACGCUCUGAGGAGGAAAGCGGGGGACCUUCGGGCCUCGCGCUGCGGGAGCGGCCGAUGUCGGAUUAGCUAGUUGGUGGGGUAAAGGCCUACCAAGGCGACGAUCCGUAGCUGGUCUGAGAGGAUGAUCAGCCACACUGGGACUGAGACACGGCCCAGACUCCUACGGGAGGCAGCAGUGGGGAAUUUUGGACAAUGGGGGCGAACCCUGAUCCAGCCAUGCCGCGUGAGUGAAGAAGGCCUUCGGUUGUAAG
This 418-nucleotide ribosomal RNA is filed under the name uncultured beta proteobacterium. Its description in RNAcentral is "bacterial SSU rRNA". It matches the Rfam family "Bacterial small subunit ribosomal RNA", at positions 9 to 429 of the family's 1533-position model. The record is from RNAcentral. Lineage: Bacteria; Pseudomonadati; Pseudomonadota; Betaproteobacteria.